UUUAUGGAGAGUUUGAUCCUGGCUCAGGAUGAACGCUGGCGGCGUGCCUAAUACAUGCAAGUCGAGCGAACGGACGAGAAGCUUGCUUCUCUGAUGUUAGCGGCGGACGGGUGAGUAACACGUGGAUAACCUACCUAUAAGACUGGGAUAACUUCGGGAAACCGGAGCUAAUACCGGAUAAUAUUUUGAACCGCAUGGUUCAAAAGUGAAAGACGGUCUUGCUGUCACUUAUAGAUGGAUCCGCGCUGCAUUAGCUAGUUGGUAAGGUAACGGCUUACCAAGGCAACGAUGCAUAGCCGACCUGAGAGGGUGAUCGGCCACACUGGAACUGAGACACGGUCCAGACUCCUACGGGAGGCAGCAGUAGGGAAUCUUCCGCAAUGGGCGAAAGCCUGACGGAGCAACGCCGCGUGAGUGAUGAAGGUCUUCGGAUCGUAAAACUCUGUUAUUAGGGAAGAACAUAUGUGUAAGUAACUGUGCACAUCUUGACGGUACCUAAUCAGAAAGCCACGGCUAACUACGUGCCAGCAGCCGCGGUAAUACGUAGGUGGCAAGCGUUAUCCGGAAUUAUUGGGCGUAAAGCGCGCGUAGGCGGUUUUUUAAGUCUGAUGUGAAAGCCCACGGCUCAACCGUGGAGGGUCAUUGGAAACUGGAAAACUUGAGUGCAGAAGAGGAAAGUGGAAUUCCAUGUGUAGCGGUGAAAUGCGCAGAGAUAUGGAGGAACACCAGUGGCGAAGGCGACUUUCUGGUCUGUAACUGACGCUGAUGUGCGAAAGCGUGGGGAUCAAACAGGAUUAGAUACCCUGGUAGUCCACGCCGUAAACGAUGAGUGCUAAGUGUUAGGGGGUUUCCGCCCCUUAGUGCUGCAGCUAACGCAUUAAGCACUCCGCCUGGGGAGUACGACCGCAAGGUUGAAACUCAAAGGAAUUGACGGGGACCCGCACAAGCGGUGGAGCAUGUGGUUUAAUUCGAAGCAACGCGAAGAACCUUACCAAAUCUUGACAUCCUUUGACAACUCUAGAGAUAGAGCCUUCCCCUUCGGGGGACAAAGUGACAGGUGGUGCAUGGUUGUCGUCAGCUCGUGUCGUGAGAUGUUGGGUUAAGUCCCGCAACGAGCGCAACCCUUAAGCUUAGUUGCCAUCAUUAAGUUGGGCACUCUAAGUUGACUGCCGGUGACAAACCGGAGGAAGGUGGGGAUGACGUCAAAUCAUCAUGCCCCUUAUGAUUUGGGCUACACACGUGCUACAAUGGACAAUACAAAGGGCAGCGAAACCGCGAGGUCAAGCAAAUCCCAUAAAGUUGUUCUCAGUUCGGAUUGUAGUCUGCAACUCGACUACAUGAAGCUGGAAUCGCUAGUAAUCGUAGAUCAGCAUGCUACGGUGAAUACGUUCCCGGGUCUUGUACACACCGCCCGUCACACCACG
This 1424-nucleotide ribosomal RNA is filed under the name Staphylococcus aureus. RNAcentral describes it as "bacterial SSU rRNA". It matches the Rfam family "Bacterial small subunit ribosomal RNA". Lineage: Bacteria; Bacillati; Bacillota; Bacilli; Caryophanales; Staphylococcaceae. The record is from RNAcentral.